This 72-nucleotide transfer RNA is filed under the name Arthrobacter phage Racecar. RNAcentral's name for it is "tRNA-Gly". It matches the Rfam family "tRNA". From Rfam's summary of the family: Transfer RNA (tRNA) molecules are approximately 80 nucleotides in length. Their secondary structure includes four short double-helical elements and three loops (D, anti-codon, and T loops). Further hydrogen bonds mediate the characteristic L-shaped molecular structure. tRNAs have two regions of fundamental functional importance: the anti-codon, which is responsible for specific mRNA codon recognition, and the 3' end, to which the tRNAs corresponding amino acid is attached (by aminoacyl-tRNA synthetases). tRNAs cope with the degeneracy of the genetic code in two manners: having more than one tRNA (with a specific anti-codon) for a particular amino acid; and 'wobble' base-pairing, i.e. permitting non-standard base-pairing at the 3rd anti-codon position. The record is from RNAcentral. Lineage: Duplodnaviria; Heunggongvirae; Uroviricota; Caudoviricetes.
GGGAUAUUAGCAUAGUGGUAAUGUAUCUGGCUUCCACCCAGAGUAGAGGGGUUCGAUUCCCCUAUAUCCCUC